RNAcentral lists this ribosomal RNA (465 nucleotides) under uncultured bacterium. Its description in RNAcentral is "partial 16S ribosomal RNA". It matches the Rfam family "Bacterial small subunit ribosomal RNA", at positions 28 to 507 of the family's 1533-position model. The record is from RNAcentral.
GACGAACGCUGGCGGCGUGCUUAACACAUGCAAGUCGUACGGUAAGGCCCUUUCGGGGGUACACGAGUGGCGAACGGGUGAGUAACACGUGAGUAACCUGCCCACAACUUUGGGAUAACGCUAGGAAACUGGUGCUAAUACUGGAUAUGUGCUCCUGCUGCAUGGUGGGGGUUGGAAAGCUCCGGCGGUUGUGGAUGGACUCGCGGCCUAUCAGCUUGUUGGUGGGGUAGUGGCCUACCAAGGCGGCGACGGGUAGCCGGCCUGAGAGGGUGACCGGCCACAUUGGGACUGAGAUACGGCCCAGACUCCUACGGGAGGCAGCAGUGGGGAAGAUUGCACAAUGGGCGCAAGCCGGAUGCAGCAACGCCGCGGGCGGGAUGACGGCCUUCGGGUUGUAAACCGCUUUCAGCAGGGACGAAGCUUUUUGUGACGGUACCUGCAGAAGAAGCACCGGCUAACUACGUG